Long non-coding RNA from Chelonia mydas (Green sea turtle), 1829 nucleotides. RefSeq lists it as uncharacterized. The transcript has 3 exons. NCBI's taxonomy places the organism in Eukaryota, Metazoa, Chordata, Testudines, Cheloniidae. The record is from RefSeq and is a predicted model, not a curated record.
GGGGACCUCUUCGAAGGCGAGACUUUGGAUGGCUCGGUCCCUCUUAGCGGGCGGGGCAGGCCUCUUGGCGGGGGCGAGUCUGUCAAACUUGUCAGGGAGGGAGCCGGCGGAGGCCGCUCUCCGUAGGGAGCGGUGAGGCGCAGGGGGCUGCCGCGUCGCUCCCCUCCGAGGCAGCGCCGUGGGCCCGGGUGUCAGGCACCCGCCCGGCUAACGCACUCCCUCGUGCCAGCUGGAGGGAUCAUGCCCCGCGUAUCGGCUGCCUCAGCUUUUGGGAUGCCAUGUUCCAGGAAGCAUCUGGAGGGCCUCUUGGAGCACAGGGCCUCCAACUGCACCUCACUGCUGCACAAUAAUGCAAGAGGAGAGUCUCUUUAUGCCCUCCCUUAUGCAUCUAUGAAGUAGCAGGGCACAACCUGGCCCGUAAAGUGUUGGCAAGUGGGGAAACUGAGGAAGAAAGUGAUUAAGUGACUUGGCCAAGAUCACCCAGAAAAUUGUUCAGCGCUGAGAUUAGAAAUCAGGAGUUUAUGCGCUGCUGCUCUAAAAAGGAGCAGCGGGGAUUCCUGGCUGACCUGGAUGCUGUUUGCUGCAUCAUACAUGCUAACCAGCUAGAAACUCUAUGUGCACAUUAGCCAACAGAUCAUGCUCUCUUGAGGUUGGCAUGCCUGGGCUCGUGUGUCACCCUCUUUUUCUCAUACUGCUCUCUUAAGCACUAAAGAGGUUGGCUUCUCUGCUUCUUGUGCUAAGGGGAGGGAAGAACAGCAUCUGACUCUCAAUACAAGCUGAAUUCCACAUUACUAUAUUAGGGUCAAGUGACUGAUUUAAGAAUACUAUGAGUUAGGAUAUACUUUAAUCCAUAGGCCUGAUUCUCCUCUGCCGUCCUCCUUGUUUACUCGUUUACAUCUAUGUAAAGUGGGUGCAAAAUGCUAUCAAGAAAGAAUGGUAGAGUUUUAGCCUCCAUUUACACAGGUGUAAAUGACUACAUCAGGAACAAGAUAGGACAGAACCAGGCCUCAUGCUAUCAUCUUAUUUGCUUUGAGCUCACUGUAGGACCCAGUAUUGAACUAACAACUCAGUUUCUACUCAGGCAAACUGCCAGUAAGAAAGCAGUGGGAAUUUUGCUUAAGUAAGGACUUCAGGAUUGGGCCUGACAGUUUGUGUGAAUGCCAAAAAUUAUUUUAAAUUAGUUCGUAGAAUAUCAUCAUAAGAUAAUGUAACAUCACAGUGGGCGAUCUAUUUAAACUGUUGCACAUUAAAACAUGAGUGGGUUCGUAACAUCACUUUUUUGCAGUCUUGCUCUCUGUUGAGAUUAUUACAAAAGGCCCUACUGCAGAUUGGAAAUUUAAGUACAGGAAAAAAUAAGUGCCCUCCAAUUUCUCUAGAAGGUAAUAAUACAGUAGUGAUUUUAAAGUAAAAAUAUGUGUGUCAAUGAAAAUCUUUCUGAGGUUGACGGUAAGGUGCAUUUGGCUGAUUGAGGAAUUAGUGGGUACUGUGGAUGAUUGUAUCUGAUAACAAAAGGGAGGUGGUGAUGAGGAGUAUGAUUCCAUUUGGGUAUUGUGAUGUUUGUUUGGUAAUGUGUACUGAUGCUGGAAAGGAGGUUAAUUAUGCUAAUGAUGACUAAUCAGAGGAUUUCCUUGCCUUUAUUUAUUGUGUGGAUAAAAAAAAAAUUUGCUCUACCACUGACUUGCAUGAGCUUGGUCAAAUCAUUUAACCUCCCUCUACCUCCAUUUUCUCCAUGGGGAUAAUCAUAUGUGCCUAAUUUACUGGGGUAUUAUAAGGCUUACUGUUUGUGAAAUAGGUUGUGAUUCUCAAAUAAAGGUACUUCAAAGUAUAAA